This is a long non-coding RNA of Balaenoptera ricei (Rice's whale), 451 nucleotides long. RefSeq lists it as uncharacterized. The record is from RefSeq and is a predicted model, not a curated record. NCBI's taxonomy places the organism in Eukaryota, Metazoa, Chordata, Mammalia, Artiodactyla, Balaenopteridae. The transcript has 4 exons.
UGGGACUCCUCUGGAACACCCACGAAAGGCAUACAACUGAGAAGAACUGAAGAAUGGAGUAUAAAAUAUAGCAGCUGCGAGACAGACAUGAGGAUGCUGACAACUGUGUUUUGUGCCACCUGGAGGAUUUGGAGGAUGAGAUUAACGUAGAAACAAACGUAAAGAGAUACUGCGUGGGAGAAGGUGUGGGAAGGAAGGAAAGAGAAGAGGGAAGGAGACCUGAAGCUAUUUGAGUCCACGGCUUCAAGUGACCCUGAGGAUAUAAAGCGACAGAGGAAAGAAGAGUGCUGUGAUAGGCAGCUGCUCAAUCUGGCCCAAAGGGCGAGCUGUGCCCUCCCCAAGCUGCAGAAGUUCCAUACAUCAAAGGACGAGGAUGGAAAUACUUUUCAUUAAACUUUGGUGUUGUACUUCUUCCUUUCUUCUUACCUAGACAUGAUAAAUCACUAAGGGA